RNAcentral lists this long non-coding RNA (549 nucleotides) under Salmo trutta (river trout). RNAcentral describes it as "lncRNA (ENSSTUG00000017387.1)". Lineage: Eukaryota; Metazoa; Chordata; Actinopteri; Salmoniformes; Salmonidae. The record is from RNAcentral.
AGACAACUGGGAACUCGGAAAAAAACGAGAUCAAAUCGUCCGUGAUCAUAAGGUCGGAAAUUCGGAGCUAUAAAAAGAGGCACAAAUUCCUGACUUGGAAUUCGGAUUUGGAUGACCGUUCAAACUAACUUUCCCAGUCGGAGCUCGUUUUUUCCGAGUUCCCUGUUAUCGUGAACGCAUUGCCGGCGAUUUCCGAGCUCCAGUUGGAGCGCUUCUGUUGGGAUGACGUUUGUUGUCUCCUCUUCAAAAAGCGUGUCCACUCCUACAACCCGUCCUAGUACGCCAUACUCCGACACUGAUCAUUUAUUAGUCUAGUCAUUUGUUUUGAGUUUGAGAGGAGAAAUGAUGAUGAUGAUCAAGUCUGGGUCUGAGGCUCCCAUUCAAUCAGAGGAGAGCGAGACGCAGAAGCAUGGAUUUGGGAAAUGGUUUCCAGAAACGCACAGACCAUGUAGCACACUCAGAAAACGAUGGGGGCUACAUUUCAACAGCUCGGGACUCUUCGCAAUUCUUUGCACACCCUUUGUAUGGAGCCUCUGGACCACAAUCAAG